CUUUCCAGAAGCAGGAAUGUGAAAAAAAAAUGUUCCAAACAAAAGCUAAUCAGCAGAGAAGUGAGCAGCAGCCAGGGAGAGAGAGCGACAACAUUUCUUUACCGCUGAGCAGAAGAAGGAAAGGAUAAUCACACUCUGCAGUGGCUUCGGUGUGGAGAUGCAGUGAGGAGAUAAACACAUCUCCCUCGGGGGAAGGGCCCUUGAUUGGAAUCACUGAUUGGACUCCUGCAGAGGACGCAGAUCAGGACGAGCAAGUGAGAGAACAACUUCCACAGAAAUCCACAGAGACAGACAACUGAACAUCAGGUGCCAUGUCUCCAAGUUCACCACAUCCUCCUGCUCCAUCGACAUCAUCACAAGUUAAACACAGACACCCAGUGGACGUGUCAAGACUCUUUGGUCCCUACUCACAUGGCGAAGAAGACCAAUGUCUAGGCAGCGACCCACAAACACAGAUUGGUCAUGCCACCAUUUUUAUUCAUCCACUUCAAAGGAACCUCGAUCUGGAGCCUAUAUGUCAACCAGGAUGCAGUGGUGAGCUGGUUGGACUGCCGCAGAAAUGUGUGGCAUGCGGAGAAGAAUUUCAUUUUUCCAGUAUCAAAGCUCACAGUGACGAAUGCAUGAGGUAUUGCUCAACAGAGCUGAAGUAUCACAUUUUUAAGCACAUUGCAUGUGUCGGCAUGCCGGUAUGAUAAGAUAAGAUAAUACUUUGUCUAUUUGCACAAAAAUUUGUCUUGCUUCUCCAUCUCACAAUCUGUCAUCCAUCCACAAGCAGGACACAAUAAAAAUAUAAGACAUAAGCAUGAGAUUCUGGCGGUAUGGUAAUCGUAAACAAAAAUAACACGGUUUUGCGGUUACAGCUCUAAAAUGUUAGUCUGAGUAUCAGACUGAAGAUUAAAGAUGUCUACAGGGGUUUUGGUGUGUUGACAUUCGCAUACAAAAUGAACAGUUAGUUGUGCAGGCUGCAUGAAGAGUUCUCACACCGCUGAGAAAGAGUUUAAAGAAUAAGCUAGAUAGGAUGACGAUGAAAAAUAAAAAUAAAAUAGCAUGGUUACAUUUUCAUUUUGUGGUUGCUUGCAGGAACAUGAAAAUAGCUUAAUAUAUGUAUCAUUUAUUGUAGCACGUGCCAAUAUGCUACUGUGUUCCCUUCAUAGAUAAAUACUCUGCUACAGCAGCCAGUGAGCUGGAUGGCCAGAACCCACCAGCAGAGUGGGAGGAGCAAGGUUCCACAUGUGGCGCCUUAUAGAAAAUCAGUAGGCAUGCAGUACAAACUUAAUGGGUUAGUCAUACUGAUAAUAGGUUUGUCUUCUAUCCUUUAAAGUUUGGUGAGGCUAGGACUAAGUCUUUUCAAGAUAUUAAUGCCCAAACAUGGCUUACCAGGUAAGACAUUUUUGAGAGAGUGUAAGAGUUAAGGAGCAGCAAGGGCCAAAACAUAAUAAAAAUAUGAUAUUUUGUAAAACUAGUUGAGAUCAUUAAUAUUCUUCAGAUACCUAAUCAAUUUAUGGUUUCCGCCAAUAUGCCAUAAACUGUUGGGCGCCGGUACAGAGUAGUUCCUGCGCUUCCGUGGGUUAAGCUGAAGGGUGCGCAUCACAACCCCAUGAGGAUCCACACGCCGCAUGGAUUCCUGCACAUGUUGUCCUAUUAAAACAGAACCUAACAGAAUUAGGUGUAUUACAAAACCAAGCUGGCCCUUUCCCAAUCUCUCUGUAAAUUCAUAAGUAGACCAAUUCCAGUCUAAAUUAAAUCAUAUUCUUUUGCACAUUAUCACAGGGCUUAAAGUUCUCCGGCACAGCAACGGAAUACUGGCAUGGCACUGACACAGGAUGCCAGAAGCAGUUUUCAGACCAGCCGCACAGCUCCAUGUCGGCUUACAGCUAGCUCGUACUCUGCAGCGAUUGUUUCUGGUCUAUUUGUUUUUGCGAGCAACGAGCUUAGCAGCGAGCAGCGAGCAGACAGGGCAUCAGACACAGAAACAGCAUAGAGAAAUGUGGAAAGUUUUCAAAAUAAAACACCCUGUGUUAUUCUGCAUUUUGACACCAAGAUUUACUGCAAAAGUAAGCCUGUAUCCGUUCCAAAUAUUGGUUAUCUGUCUCCUUGGUCACUAAUAAUCAGUAAUGGCCCCAGAAAAAAUCCUGAAAGCACUUCAGACACAGAAAUAAAUCCCAAAAACAUUUAAGGCACAAAUUUUUUCCUUGCUUUAAGCCCUGUUGUCAGUAGUAGAUCAGCAAGUAGCUCAAAUCCCAACCUGUUGGUAAAUUAUCCCCAGAUGCUAUAAAUAGGUAAUGACUAAAAUUCCUUACGCUGUAUGCGGAUGCCUUGUGCAUUCAAGUGCCCAACCAUCAUUUUGUAUCCACAGUUGGGAUGGUUCCGCAGAAUCUGGGUCACACCUUUAUCCAGAUCAUUGUCGUCCAAUGGAGUAAGUAGAUUGUGGACUCUGAUAAUAAAAAACAAACAGUUAAUAUGACACAGAUAUAACCACAGUACAACCAAAACCAGUGGUGGAUAGUAACCAAGUACAUUUACUCAAGUACUGUAAUUAAGUACAAAUUUGAGGUACUUAUACUUUACUUGAAUAUUUCCAUUUUAUGCUACUUUAUACUUCCACUCCACUACAUUUCAGAGGGAACUAUUGUACUUUCUACUACACUACAUUUAUUUGACAGUUUUACUUCAUUUUGAGAUGACAAUUCUUCAUACCUUUCCUGUCCAGUGAAAAUCAUAUUAUCUCCAAAUAUGUUGAUUUUGAAUGUUUGUGAUAAAUUGAAGGAUCAACGUGUUUCUUCAUGGGUUUAGAAAAUGCUCCAAACUUCUUAAGCUGAAUGAACUAUUUAAAACCCCUCAUGGCUCAGCUGGAAAAUGCAUCAUCACAAAGUUGAAAACAGCUUGUUGACUUUUUAGAGAUGCACGGUUCUCACAGGACAACAACACUAAGAACAUAUUCACCUCAGUGAAGUGUGUAAAUGUUUGGAAUGAAUAUUCUCUUGUUUUUAACCUUGUGUUUCUUGUGUCUUUGCAACUGUAUCUCAACAUCAUGGUAAAU
Epinephelus fuscoguttatus (brown-marbled grouper) is the source of this 3040-nucleotide long non-coding RNA. RefSeq lists it as uncharacterized. NCBI's taxonomy places the organism in Eukaryota, Metazoa, Chordata, Actinopteri, Perciformes, Serranidae. The transcript is spliced from 5 exons. The record is from RefSeq and is a predicted model, not a curated record.